This 474-nucleotide ribosomal RNA is filed under the name uncultured bacterium. RNAcentral describes it as "bacterial SSU rRNA". It matches the Rfam family "Bacterial small subunit ribosomal RNA", at positions 30 to 506 of the family's 1533-position model. The record is from RNAcentral.
UGAACGCUGGCGGCAUGCUUUACACAUGCAAGUCGAACGGUAACAGGUUAAGCUGACGAGUGGCGAACGGGUGAGUAAUGCAUCGGAACGUGCCCGAUCGUGGGGGAUAACGCAGCGAAAGCUGCGCUAAUACCGCAUACGAUCUGAGGAUGAAAGCGGGGGACCGUAAGGCCUCGCGCGAUCGGAGCGGCCGAUGUCAGAUUAGGUAGUUGGUGGGGUAAAGGCUCACCAAGCCGACGAUCUGUAGCUGGUCUGAGAGGACGACCAGCCACACUGGGACUGAGACACGGCCCAGACUCCUACGGGAGGCAGCAGUGGGGAAUUUUGGACAAUGGGCGCAAGCCUGAUCCAGCAAUGCCGCGUGCAGGAAGAAGGCCUUCGGGUUGUAAACUGCUUUUGUACGGAGCGAAAAGGCUCUCUCUAAUACAGGGGGCUCAUGACGGUACCGUAAGAAUAAGCACCGGCUAACUACGU